Molecule: ribosomal RNA, 292 nt
Filed under: uncultured bacterium
Lineage: Bacteria
Description: partial 16S ribosomal RNA
Rfam family: Archaeal small subunit ribosomal RNA
Source: RNAcentral
GUGCCAGCCGCCGCGGUAAUACCGGCAGCCCGAGUGAUGGCCGAUCUUAUUGGGCCUAAGCGUCCGUAGCUGGCUGCUCACGUCCGUCGGGAACUCCACUCGCCCAACGAGUGGGCGUCCGACGGGAACUGCACGGCUUGGGACCGGAAGGCUCGAGAGGUACGUCCGGGGUAGGAGUGAAAUCCCGUAAUCCCGAACGGACCACCGAUGGCGAAAGCAUCUCGAGAAAACGGAUCCGACAGUGAGGGACGAAAGCUAGGGUCUCGAACCGGAUUAGAAACCCGAGUAGUCC